RNAcentral lists this ribosomal RNA (254 nucleotides) under uncultured bacterium. RNAcentral describes it as "partial 16S ribosomal RNA". It matches the Rfam family "Bacterial small subunit ribosomal RNA", at positions 524 to 776 of the family's 1533-position model. The record is from RNAcentral.
UACGUAGGGGGCAAGCGUUGUCCGGAUUCAUUGGGCGUAAAGAGCUCGUAGGCGGCUUGGCAAGUCGGGUGUGAAAACUCCAGGCUCAACCUGGAGACGCCACCCGAUACUGCCAUGGCUAGAGUCCGGUAGGGGACCACGGAAUUCCUGGUGUAGCGGUGAAAUGCGCAGAUAUCAGGAGGAACACCGGUGGCGAAGGCGGUGGUCUGGGCCGGAACUGACGCUGAGGAGCGAAAGCCAGGGGAGCGAACGGG